This 229-nucleotide ribosomal RNA is filed under the name uncultured bacterium. RNAcentral's name for it is "partial 16S ribosomal RNA". It matches the Rfam family "Bacterial small subunit ribosomal RNA", at positions 568 to 796 of the family's 1533-position model. The record is from RNAcentral.
CGUGUAGGCGGUCUAUCGAGUCAGGCGUGAAAGCCCCGGGCUUAACCUGGGAACUGCGUUUGAUACUGAUAGACUAGAGGUUGGAAGAGGAGAGUGGAAUUCCCAGUGUAGAGGUGAAAUUCGUAGAUAUUGGGAAGAACACCAGUGGCGAAGGCGGCUCCCUGGUCCAUACCUGACGCUGAGGCGCGAAAGCGUGGGGAGCAAACAGGAUUAGAUACCCUGGUAGUCC